ACGUGAUGAAUAAACUCCCUUCUCUAUAUUGCCCUAGUUACUUCUGGCAUGAGACGUUGGAAGCAGAAGUGAAGAAGGCAGACAGGAAGUGAGAGCAAGACAUCAGGCACUGGGCUCUUGCAUGAUUCAGCAGAUCUGCAAGCUCACCAUGUUGGCAUGCAGCAACAUCCAGGCUCACAGCUCCUCCGGCUUCUUAGGAUUUGCACCUUCAGGUUCGCGGAGUCCUAGGCCAGAUAAAUGUGACUCUCUGUGACAAAGGGCACCAGUUCUCCUGCAGACUACUCAAGGCAUGGGAAUUUGAAGUAUGAGAGACAGAUAUAGAUAGGCUCCACUUUGUCCCCAUGGGUUCUAGUUGGUCCUCUGGGAUUCCAGUGUAUUCCUGGUCUUUCCCACCUCAUGUCCAGCUUUUUUCCCAUCCCCAGAAGCAGAAGCAACAGCUUUGCACAGAUUUCUCUCUCUGCUUCAUGACGUAUAAGGUCUAAUCCCUAUAAUAACUCUUUUGUUAUGUAUGUAAGACUGUUACUGGUUCUGACUUUCUGAUGGGGAGCCCCUAUUCUCAUCUGUGAUAAGAUCAUGAGUAAACUACUUUAUGAUCAUAUGACUUACUUUUCUCAUUUGUAAAAUAAGAA
RNAcentral lists this long non-coding RNA (629 nucleotides) under Homo sapiens (human). Its description in RNAcentral is "HSALNT0386470". The record is from RNAcentral. Lineage: Eukaryota; Metazoa; Chordata; Mammalia; Primates; Hominidae.